Molecule: ribosomal RNA, 456 nt
Filed under: Triticum aestivum (bread wheat)
Lineage: Eukaryota; Viridiplantae; Streptophyta; Magnoliopsida; Poales; Poaceae
Description: partial small subunit ribosomal RNA
Source: RNAcentral
AUGGGACUCUCCCUACUACAGGAACCUUGGCCUCGUCGGAAUUGGCUGCCAUUGCCAGGCCGCGACCGUGAACUGGAACAAAUUGGUAAUACCUCUCGGCGGGCUCCUCCUCGCUCUCAGCGCCGUCUACCUCAAUCAACCGCUUCGAAUCCCAGUGGUCGCAGAUGCGAAGGCUUGACAUGCUGCUCCUCAAGAUCGCGCGGGCGCGGAGAGCUCCGUCCUUCUCCUCCACCAGCAGGUGCCCGCGUUGCAGGGCGUGCGGCAACGGGAAGCGCCUGGGCUGCUUCACGUUGUAGACCUCGUGCGCCACGGCGUCGAUGUUGCGCCACCAGCAGCCGCCCUCUACCUCCACCUCGCCGAACCACCUUAUUCGCAGGACACACAUCUCCACCAACGACGGCGAGUGCCGGCAGGGAAACAGGCUAUGGGCCUGCAGCCGGCGACGCUUCGACGUGA